UUGUUCCAUUGUGUACCAUUUUUCAAUGGGACUCACUUGCUGAGCAGCUCUAACAAUUGCAGGUGCUUUGGCAAAUUGCAACUAUUAUUCAGGAAAUUCUAUUAUUUUCUUUUUUUGUGUAACUAAAAACAAGUCCUUGUGAUUUCACGUUGACUUCAUCCUGCUUGCUGUGCCUUUUAGAAUUGGAAAAGCAGUGUUUUCCAGCCCAGUUUUUGUAGCUCCCAUGUGUGAGUGAGAGGGUCACACCAGCCCUGCCAGGCAGCACGUGUGGGCCCAGAGCCGGGCCAGGGUGACGUGGGUCCAGCUUCCUCAGGAUGGACUACACAGUGAGGCCUGCGGCAACCAGAGAGGCAGAGGAACGACAAAAACAUCCUCUGUUACCCCUCGCGCUCUUGCCCCCCCUCUGCCUUGUCCCUCUCCAGUGCUCAAAUGCUUAUUUUCAGGAAGACCAGGCUUCCUGCGUGAUGGAGUGGUGGAUGAGAGGAGGAAGAGGGGGAUGGGACAGAGAGGAAAGGACAGACACAGAGAAAGAUGGAUAGGGAUGGGGCGAUGGUCUUUUGCACGUAGUGAUUUGGGGAAGUUUGUUUCAAUCGGCGGUUGUUUUCUUCACAGGUACGAGCAGCUGUAGAGAACAGGAGAGCAGGGAGGAUCAAUCCACAGAUCUGCGUAGAAUGGGAAUGCUUUUCUUUUUCCCAUUCUCUUGCACCUGAGAUCAGUGUUGUCCCUGUGUCAGCAAACUUACCAGGGAGUGGCCUGAUGUGCGACUGGGACAAGCUGAAGAUAAAUCGGGCAUUUUUUUGCGAUGACAAAAUAUGGAGCACAGCCAGCACGAGGCAUGGAAGCCGACAGGUGUAGGUAUUACACAAACCGACGGCUUGCUGGAGGACAGCAAUAAUCUGCUGUUGUGGUCACUCGAGCCCCGGAGGGAAGAUGAUCCUCCUCACCCUGCGAGAUUAACUGCAAAGAUGAGAUGCUUGUUAAAUGCAUUGAGAUCUAGCUGUUCCGUGCCUUCAGCCCCGGGCCGAUCUGUUUCUCAUCUGUUUAGUUACCGUAACUAAGGGACAAAACUGACUCAUUACAUUUUUGACUUAAAUGUGGUUGCUGCUGUGCAACAGGAUCGGGGUGACUACCAGCCAUCUUAGGGCCCAAGAGAGGGAUUCGUUCUGAGACAGGACAG
Molecule: long non-coding RNA, 1177 nt
Organism: Scophthalmus maximus (turbot)
Lineage: Eukaryota; Metazoa; Chordata; Actinopteri; Pleuronectiformes; Scophthalmidae
Exons: 3
Source: RefSeq, a predicted model, not a curated record